UCUAUAUUAGCCGUAUUUUUCUCUCCCCUCUGCGAUCUUCGCCUCUGGAUCUGAUCCCCUCCAUGACCACGGCGGCGGCGCUGUCUCUGCUCCCAACCUCGCUUUUCCGGCCGUCUUCUAAUUUCUACUCCAAAAAGGUCCUGAAGGAGGACCUAUGGCUAGUGGUUGGGCAGCAGGACAGGAUGAUCAAUGGGGAAGACAUUUGAAACUCGCCAUUGUUAUAUGACAAGCUUGGGGUGAGGUACAGGCUAUGGAGAGCUGCACUUGAGAGGGGUGCUGAGCAUUUGCUAAGCAAGACAACUAGUCCAUGGUCUGCAUGCAAUGCAGCUGCAGUUCAGCUCCUGUAGGUAUCAUCUGGAACUGGAUGGUGUUUACGUGCGAUAAUAACCAGAUCUCUCUGCAGCUCUUAAUGAUCAAGACAUCUUUACCAACCAUAAGCUGUUGAUUGAAAGCUGGGAGAAGAUGAAUAGGCCAUUCCUUGUAAUAAGUUGUACACUAGCCAGUUCACCAAGUCAAUGCAAUUUUUUUUUGGCCAUUCCUCCAUAUUUGGGUUUCCUGUUUCCCCCUUCAUUUUUCAAUUUGGUGAGGCACAGUUCGAUGAUAGUUGUAGAACUACCAGCUACCAGUUGGCACUAGUUAGCUGAAAUCCUUUUUUGUACCAAUAAAAGGGAUCGAACACCCAUGCUGUUAAUGUGCUGUAUACUUACAAAGUAUAGGUUUGGUAAAUGGUAUUUGAAGAAAUCAAUCCUGAAGUUGUAGUGAUUAAAAUAGGUGGAGCAUUUUUAUCAGUUCAAACCAAAUUUCUUUCGGAUCUCCACUGACAGCCAGCAGGGAUUCUGCGGUUGCACAAGGGUGAGUUGAAAAGAUGCUACAGAGUGCGUUGUUCAGGUUCCUCAAUGGCCUGCAAGAGAGGAUUAGAGAUUACCAGGUCCGCCCAGGCUUCUAUUUGCAGGUCAGAGACAGGGCAUGUGCAACAGCAGAGGUCACAUUUGAGCACAAUAUCCGGCCUCAUCUGUGAUUCCAAGUUUGCUCACAAAGUUGAUGAAUUGUUUAUGUAUGUACACUCAGGACAAAAAAGCAGCAUUUUUCCUUUCAAAAUAUAGCCAAAUAGAAGGGUGUAUCUCCCAUGACAUUUUGAUGAGAAAUUUCCACAUGCUGAUAGGUCCAAAACCAU
This is a non-coding RNA of Phoenix dactylifera (date palm), 1174 nucleotides long. The record is from RefSeq and is a predicted model, not a curated record. NCBI's taxonomy places the organism in Eukaryota, Viridiplantae, Streptophyta, Magnoliopsida, Arecales, Arecaceae.